GUCGACCAAAAGGUCGCGGCUAUUAAAAACAGAUUGCUCUUACAAAUAGAUCGCUCUUAA
This 60-nucleotide small RNA is filed under the name Vibrio cholerae O1 biovar El Tor str. N16961. The record is from RNAcentral. Lineage: Bacteria; Pseudomonadati; Pseudomonadota; Gammaproteobacteria; Vibrionales; Vibrionaceae.